UUUCACGAGCAGAGACUACGCAGACCCUGGACAGACAAGGCUGCUAAGAUGUGCUGUGCCAACAGUUUCCAUCUUUGGCGAUGAGCAGACACACGUCGAAAGUCCAGGCUCUCCUUGGCCCGCGAAUACCACUGCAAUGCCCGCUCACAGCGCCGAUGAAGAAGUUCAACAGACUGAGCCCUCAUGUACGCAAAUUGUAUUGCUCUCUAAGCUCUUUAAAACUAUUCCAGAUAAAUUAAUGCCCUGCA
This 248-nucleotide long non-coding RNA is filed under the name Rhipicephalus microplus (southern cattle tick). RNAcentral's name for it is "uncharacterized LOC119171419, transcript variant X1". Lineage: Eukaryota; Metazoa; Arthropoda; Arachnida; Ixodida; Ixodidae. The record is from RNAcentral.